GUUAUGUGGAUGUAGUCUCUCUUUUUCUCUCUCAUAGUAUCUUAUUGUAGAUGUGUGACAUCAUAAAAUGCUUCUGUGAUGAGAUGCAGUGAGGUGAAUGACAGGCACUGUGACGUAGCGUCAGGCUACUGCUGAUCUGACAAUAUGUCAGAAGGAAGAUCAUUUGGUUUCCACCAUGCAGUUGACCGCGGGUAACUGAAACCAUGAAAAACAAAACCCCAGAUAGGGAGACUACUGUAUAUACUGAACCUAGGUUGUCAAUGCCAACACUAUCAAGCAAGUUGAUGAAGGUGUAUUGUUUCCCACAUUUGAGAACUUGGAUUUGUUCUACUUGUAGCCAGAGAAGAUGGGUGACUGACAUCAUGGUCUAGUUUUGCAGGAUAAUGAGUAGAGCUGAUUGUCCUCAAAAUGCAUAGCCUGUGAUCCCACGUGGGUGCUACAUGAAUGCCAUGUUCCUUUGCAAAUAGGCAUUUCAUCCAUCUUUGGAAGUAUAUUUCUUGGGGAGUCCAUGGUCUCCUUCUUACUAGAUCUCUCUCAUCAAUGACUAUAACGAAGCAUUUCUAAUAAAUUUGGUCCCUGCCCUAUGGACUGUGAUCUCAAUCUCUUAAAAGAAGACCGUGAAUUACACAAGAAGAGAGAAAGCCUGAUAAAUCACUCAGUGAAGGAAAAAUCAGCUGCUUGGAGAACUGGAGAACUUGAGGAUUAUCCAGAGGAUGUAUCUUACUUGGAGGAACUGGAGAAACACAGAUUUUC
This is a long non-coding RNA of Herpailurus yagouaroundi (jaguarundi), 753 nucleotides long. RefSeq lists it as uncharacterized. NCBI's taxonomy places the organism in Eukaryota, Metazoa, Chordata, Mammalia, Carnivora, Felidae. The record is from RefSeq and is a predicted model, not a curated record. The transcript is spliced from 4 exons.